ACGACCUUACUUGAACAGGAUCUGUUCUAUAGGUUCGUACCACUGUAUCCUUGAUUCCUAAGGAGACAGAAAACCAAGUCUGGUUGAUGACUCAUGGCCAUGAGACUAGAGCGUGAUUAACAGUCACCCGUGGCUCUUCUAGUUGUGUGGUCCAGUAGAUGAUCGUUCUCAGACCUGUUGUUGAGGUCUGAGAUGGUUUCAUGGCUGUCUGACAGACUCAUUUCUUUUUGCUUUUUCGUUAACAACAAUGUCAGUGAGUUUCGUAUCACAAAACUUGUUGCCAAAAUGAAUGGUUUGCACUUGGCUGACCUAAACAAGCACUUCACUAUGGGUUCUGUUGGACUGGUGCUUAUAUGUGACAAACACUUCUAGUUCUACAUUAACUAGACUUACACGUCUUGCAUACACCAUACAGUUUGAUCCUUUAAGCAUGAAAAUGAAAACCAAAUGGUUGCAACUUGCAACCAUUAGAAAUUGACUUGCACUAUCAGAACAAGUAUGAUAUGGUCCAAGAAAACUGUCCCACGUGAAAAAAUGUUUAUAUCCAAAGAAAACAACAACAACAAAUGCUUCUGUCCAAGAGGAGAAUACAAGAGCAAUUUACUAACAUAUAUUAAAAAAAGUUUCUUGGCAUGUCUAAGAACCCUGCAGAUGUUAACUUUUAUUUUAUUGGUUUCCUUGCUAGCAAGCACCAUCAUUCUUUUCUUCAAUCCUCAAAUUCUUUAAGCAUUAUAAAAGGAACACUUGUUACUUAGACUGUGACAUGUCCAGGAACCCUGUAGAACUUGACAAAAAAAUUACUGUAUAAAACUUUUCUCAUUUUAUUGGUGUCUUUGCUAGAAACCACCAUCAUUCUUUAAGCAUUUGCUCUUGUUUCCUUCAUCUACUAUUUUCCCCAUUUUAGACCUAUUGGAAAGAGAUGAAAACUGAGAUAAGGACCAGAACUGAGAACAACUAGUAUCAUUAUUACCGGCUAUAUUCAAGCUUUAGAAAGAGAUGUCUGGGGAAAUCGAAGAGGUCGGAGAAGAUAUCAAGAGUACUACAAUGAGCAGUAAAGAUGCAGAAACUGGUGAAGUUUAUGUAGUUGUCGGAAAAAAUGACUUGCAUGUUCUUCAAUGGGCACUUGAUCAUGCUAUUUCCUCUGGAUUUCGCAUCUGCCUCGUGCAUAUUUUUCCUACCAUUAAGUACAUCCCAACACCAGGUAACUUUUAUGCUUACACUCCAAAUCUAUCUAAAAAAAAGUCAAUACAGAUACAUAGGAGAUGAGUCAUUGCUAUCAAUUUCCUUUUUCUCUUUUGUUCUUUUUCAGUUUUUGGUUCAUCUAGCUUUACCAAUAUCAUAAACAAGACUGUAUAUUGAAUAGAGUCACAUAUGGAGAGGGUGGAUUUAUUUAAAAAAUAAGGGAACUCAAGAACAUGAAGGGUAUAUAUUGUAUAUACUGGUUCAGUUUUCUUGUUGCUGAUGCUGUCUCAUUAGUGAAAGAUGUAGAUGGACCUAUACAUACUAAAUGUUAAUUCCAAAGUUACUAAUGAAUAUGUUUUGUUCUCCAGAGAUAAUUAAUUGAAACUGAAAGAUGGAGCUCAACAGCUCAAGAAUCCUAGGAUUCUUCGCUUAGUCUUUAGCGAGUUAAUUGUUAGCUAACAUGUGAAUAAGUUCCCUACAGAUUUCCCCAAGUACAUUUUUCUGUAUACUUUCUAGGAAAGAAGGGAAUCUGGGAUCACCGAUAAAGUUUUGGCUCAAACCUGUGACCUACAGAUUAUGGGUUUCAGUCGUGGAAUCAGCCAAUGACAAGUGCAUUAAGGAAGGGUGCUUAUCAUACAACCCCUUAGGGUGUGUUCCUUCCAUGGACCCUACAUGAAUGUGGGUUGCCAUGCACCACCCGACCUUUUCUCCGCUAGAAACAAAGGGAACUUUGAUGGGGAGAAAAACAAAAAUGAAACUGAUAUUUGCAUCAGAAUUGACUUGCUUGCACUACACUCUCUAAUUGGGUGAGUCGCUCCCUCGACCUUGCGUGAAUAUGGAAUGUUUUGAGCACCAAGCUACCUUUUCCUAGGAACCAAGGAAAAGUUGAUGAAAUAAAAGUAAAACGAAACAACUUGCUAAAGAACAUAGCUAAGUUGAACUUUGUGUGAUAGUUGGGAACUUAUCGAGAAGCCGAUUGAGCAAAGAGCAAGUGCAAGUCUACAUCAAUGAAGAGAGUAACCGGAGGAAGAAUCUAUUGGAGAAAUAUAUUCGCCUAUGCAAUGAUGCCAAAGUAGGUGCAUGUCUAUAUCAAUCAGAAACUUCACAUCCAAAAUGUUGUUACAUGACAGUUCUUGAUUUUACUUUGGCCGCUAGGUACCAGUUGAUACUAUGCUUGUCGAAAGCAAUUCACCAGCUAAAGCAUUACUUGACCUAAUUCCUGUUGUCAAAAUUACCAGCCUUGUCAUCGGAACCAGGCUAUCACGUUCCACAAGGUAAACAUAGUUCUCCUCUACAACAUGAAAUUAUCGGAGUUCAAGUGUGCUAUACUGCUAUAAUGCUAUUAUUUGUCUAAUUCAGGCGAGCAAGGAAGGGACAAUAUAAAGGAGAAUAUGUUCAAGAAAAUGCACCAGAAUUCUGUGAGGUUAAAGUGGUAGGCGAAGUACAGCAACCAAAAGAGAGUUUUAGUCGAAGGCAGCCUGAGAUUCCAAGACAUUCUGACAGGAAUUUCCUUGAAUGCAUAUGCUUUUCUAGAAAGUUUUAUUGAAACAUUGAAAGCAAGAAUGUGACAAGUUAUUUUCCCAGUACUUUAACUAACUGUAGACCAACAUAGACCAGUAUAUUUGCUUCUUUGGAUUCACUUUGCAAAUUGGAAACAGAUGUUUGUUACUAAUUUACAUGUUUAACAAAAUAUGCAUCUUCAGUUAAACUUUUGUCCUUGUUCCUAAAUGAAUCUCAUGUUCAUUAACCUGUUUGUUUAUGUUGAAUGCGCUUCAUUUCCUUGUUUUCUUCUACUGUUUUCUGCAAUUUGGACUCUUGGUAAGAUAUGAAAACUGAGAAGAGACCACAGUUUUCACCCAAGGUAAAAUGCUCCUGUUUUCACCGAUCCAAUGUGGUGAAGAUGCCCAUAUUCUAUGAGAGUAAGUGCAAGUGAAAAACAGGUGAGAAAGUGUCUCCAUAUCAUCAGACAUGCAUAGAACACAUUCCUCGGCCACUUGGAUUCCCCAUUUAUGUAAUCUGUCAACUGUGGCUAGUCUACCUUGUAGAGAUAGCCAGCCAUAGUAGAAGAAAACAAUAGUCCGAGAGCUGGCACACUGAGGUUCCUCCUUUUUGCUGCUAUCAUUUACCACAUUUGGGCUGAGAGGAAUGCUAGAAGAUUCCAAGCUACCAGUACUGAUCCUAAUCACAGAAUUAGACAGAUUGUGUUCCAGCUUCACAUUUGAGGACAAAAGCAGAGCAAAUGGUCAAGAAUUCUAGAUAGCCUGAAUAGUUUCCCUACUUAGACAGAUACUACUACCUGUAUUAGUGUAGUGAAGUAGAUAAAUGUUGAGAUCUAGUUUCUAGAGUCCAAAUGGAACUAGUGCUUUGUAAAUAUUACACUUGGUUGAUAUAAAAUUUUUAUUUCAACCAACAAAAAAAUGAAAACUGAGAAGAGGGACCAGAACUUAGAACAAGUAGCGUCAUUAUUACCGGCUACAUUCAAGAUUUAUAGAAAGAGAUGUCUGGGGAAAUAGAAGAGAUCGGAGAUCAAGAUAGCAAGAGUAGUACAUUAACAAGCGAAGAUGCAGAAAUUAAUGAUGUUUAUGUAAUUGUUGGAAAUACUGACUUGCAUGUUCUUCAAUGGGCACUUGAUCAUAUGCUAUUUCCUUCCGAUUUCACAUCUUCCUCGCACACAUUUUUCCUCCCAUUUAGCUACAUCCCUACACCAGAUAAUUACAUACUAUUACACUUGCACUCUAUACUUUAUCUUAAUAGAUAUAGGAGAUGAGACAUUGAGUGUUUGGUAAGGUCAAUUCGCUAUUUGUUUCUCCACUAGAUUUCCUUAUGCUUUUUUAUUCUUUUUUAGUUUUUGAUUCAUCUAACUGUAGCUAUAGUACAAACAAGAUGGUAAAUUCAAGACAUCACAUCAGCGAGAGUGGGGGACUGUCAAUUCAUUUACUGAACAAAGGAUGAUGCUUAUGAACUUUGCAGCAGUUAGAGACUCCAAGUGCAUUUUCUAAUUACCUUCUAGGAGCAAAGGAAAAUUUGAUGGAAAAAGAAAAUGCAAAAUGAAACAACUUUCUAGAAAACAUUGGUAAGCUGAAUUUUGCAUGAUAGUUGGAAACUUAUCAAGAAGCCAAUUUAGCAAAAUGCAAGUGCAAGCCUACAUCAAUGAAGAGAGUAACAGGAGGAUAUCAGACCAUUCCUGGUGAAAUCUCAACACAUGAUUGAUAGAUACCAAAAGCAAGAACUACAAGAAACAGACUAGUACUACGACAAACAAGCCUAAACCUUUGAAAACCAAAGUCAGUACCAGUUGAAAAUUCCUUGUUCUGGAGGAAAUAUCCACUUGCCAUUAGACCAUUCUUGAUGAAGUCUCAAGACAUCAGGAGGAUAUGCAAUGUUAUCUGCAGUAGUAGGGAAGUAGACAUACAACUCUUCUCCAACUAUUCCACUGAUGAAUCCAAACCACCAUCCAUCAUUGGCAAAUACAUCAACCACAUCGUAGAGACGGAAGUUGUUUUCUGACAAUAUUUUAUGUUGAUCAGGUGGCACAGGGCGGACCUUGGAUGCAGUGACAACAUCCUCUAGUGGGGCACAGACUCAUCAUCAGAAAACAAUGUCUUGUACUUGACUCUGUAAAGAUAAGAGCCAAUGGGAGAAAUAAUAGUUGCUGUGUAGUAAGAACCUAUGAGUCCAUCUUCUUGGCUUGCCACUUCAACUUCAUCACCUUUUUCGAAUGGUUUUUGAAUCUGUUGUUUCUUGAAUGCUAUUUCUUUUAUUGCCUUUGACAUCCUAUCAAUUCUUGAUUGGUGGAGUUCCUUUGAAAAAUUUGUGUCUGCAUUGAUAAAGCCAUUGAGAAACUCUACUGGAGACUGAUUCAAUUGAAUGAAAAAAAGUGAUGAACUUGACGGGCUUUUGCUAGUGAAUUUAUAGGAACAGAAUUUUGUUGUCCUUAUUUAUCCAAAUCAUCAACAAGAGCGACAACGCCCCUAGAAGAGACUCCCCCAACAGUCUAAAUUGUAAUGUUCUAAUUUAAUUUCUUUCAAAACAUGCACAGAAAUACAAUGCGCACACACACAAAAAAAACAAGUGAAUACACAAACUUUAUUUCAAGGAACAAAGUGUAUAAAAGAGAUAGGUGCUACACUAACCUGACAAUGCUUUUGGCUCAGUUUUAACUUUCUUACAUCCUCUUGAAGUUCCAAAUUCAGUGUUCUUUUCCUCUUCUUCGGAACUGCUGAGAUCCUCCAAAUGUCUAAUGUUGGUACAAGGUUUUUUGGAGUAGGGCACGACAUGGAAGGUGGACUUGUCGACGAGGUAGAAUAUCAACAUGUCCCCUAGCUCCAACAUAUGAUGCACCACAAACCGUGGCCAGUCUCCUUUACAUAUGAAGUAAUCAGACGUCUCCCUCGCUAUCUUGACUUCCCAUAACAUCCCUUCAUUCGUUUUCAGUAAGGCCGUCUUCGCCAACAUCUUCUUGUUUUCUUUAACAAAAGCACCCGGCAUUCGCUAACAAGUCACAUCAGCGAUGGUAGGAAAACUCAGUUACAAAGCAACAAUAUAGAUGUGGACUUUUUAUUAACAAUAACAACAUAUUCAGUAUAUCGAGGGUAAAUAUAAUACUCCCUCCAUCCCAUUUUAUAUAUUGUCAUUUCUUUUUAGUUCGUUCCAAAAAAAAAAAAAGCAUCUUUCCUUAUUUGAUAACUAUUUAAUGGCAGCAUUCCAUUUUAUCCUUACUGAAUUCCACUAAAUAAGAAAAGAUAACUAAAAAGUAAACUUUUAAGAGAUAAUUUUGUAAACUUUACAAAGUCAUCAUUUAUUUCUUAAACUCCAUGUCCGGUCAAAAAGCAACACAUAAAAUGGGAGGGAGUAACAAAUUAUUACUCCUAGCAGUCUCUGAAACAACAAAAAUCACCAAAACUCCAAGACCAAGACAUUACGAGCAAGACAAAAUACAGCUGCCUGCUUGCUACCUACCACCUAUGCUAUGUAGCUUAGCCAGAAAAUGAACUUACUAUUUUAUCAAGGCUUGUUCAAGUAAAUGCUUGGAAAAAGAUGGUCUUUUUAUCAACAACAUACUCAUUAUCUGCCCAGGGUAAAGUGCACGCAGUCAGUACCAAUACCUUACUGACGAGGUAAAGAGGUUGCUUCCGGACUCUGACUCAAGACAAAAACAUUCUUAAAAAAAUGACAUAAUACAAGAAUAGGAAAUAAACCAACAGAUAAUAACAAAAAAUAGGCCUACCACAAAGUAGUACGGCACUCGACCUCUCUGAAACAACAAAAAUCACCAAAACUUCAAGACCAAGACAUUACGAGAAAGACAAAACACUAGCAGAGACACACUCCUACGUACUGCAAAUGUACCUUAACUAGUAAAAAAAUGAACUUACUAUUUUAUCAUUAAAGCCUCGUUCAAGCAAAUGCUUGGAGAAAGAUGGAUGCUUGCUUGGAUCUACCUCUAGCAUUUUCAAAAUUGCAAUUAGUGCUGAAGUUGUACCGUACGAAUAUUUGUUGUUUUCGUUUAUGCAAAUUUCAUUUUCACACAAUAUUUGUGUGAGGGGUGGGUCAUAAUAUCAUGAGAAAUAAGCUAUUUUGUUUUUUUACCACGUGGCAUUUCUCACUUUUUCAUGUAUAUCUCUCUUUCCUAGUCUUGUAAACUUUUUUCUUUUUUUCGUUUAAAUGAAAGCCAUGUAAUAUAUACGGCCUAUAGAUUGAGUUUUGUUAGUGAAGAGUUGAAAAUUCCUCCAAGGCAUGAUGGGUUUUAAACAAGUUUUAAAUUUAGAUAAAGAUAGAUCCAUGUUAAUUUUUAAAUAAUCAAAUAUGUAGAUGUAAAGUUAUGUAUUAAUUGAACUAUAAAUUCGGAAUGAAGAUAUGCUUAAAAGAUUAGCAAAAUUACAUAUUCUUAAAUCUCUUAGGAAUAAUGUCAGAAGUCAUAUUUCUAUUAUAUACACUAAAUAUGAGACUUUACAGUAUUAGAAUCUAAUUUAUAGGAAAGCUAGUAACUUAGACUAAUACAAUGGAUCCUAUCUUCUAUAAUAUUCUAAAAAAUGAACAUUUAAAAAUCAACUAAUGCCGAAUAAAUUACAUGGCCUCUAGUUUAUGUUAAAUGCGUGUACGUACAUCUAAUUACGGAGUUAGCAGAAAGGUUGUUGAUUAAUCAAAUCGAAUGAAUAAAUAUAUUUAUUUCUCCAUACAGCUUGCAAAUGAAGCAAAAUAGAUGUAUAUUCAUCAAUUUGGCUCUAGCAUUCAAAAGUACUAUCCAACUUUACAACGACUUUUCCAAUAUAAUUAAUCUGCAAGGGAACUAUCAGUAUCAGGUAACAACACAAAGACUAGUAAAGUGAAAUGACUAUCAGAAGUAAGAUUUCAUCAUUGACACCACCACGAUUUAUUAUUUGAAUCCAAUUAUAGAAUUUUGAUGCAUUUUUUCAUCGUACUAAUAUAAGAUGAAUUGCAAAUUAUAGCAUUAUUUGUAUAAGUUUUGACUAUCUAAAUUUUUUAUUUAAAAUAUUGAAUUAUUCAUUUCAAAAUAUUGAUCAAAAUCAAUAUAAAUUAAACCUCGAAAAAUGUAAAGGUAACCGAGGCUGUAUUAAAUUUGAAUUUGUAUUUACUGAUUCAAAGGAAUAGAAGGUACAUGGCUAAUUCAUUGAACAAUUUAAUUGGGAGUCGUUUUGUCUUCUCGGGUAAUAACCCACAUUUUAAUAUUAAUUCAUCAUACAAAUUAAAACGUACAAUUAAUUUUUGGUACAAUAUUAGCAUAACGAAUAUUGUAGGAUUGAAGGUACAGAUGACAUUUUAAUUUAGUGCAGGAGUAAAAUGGUAAUUCAGUUUUGCCCCAAAUCUUUUAAACUUUUUAGUAUAAGUAGUUUAGUCUAUGUGCGUUACACAUCAAUAUAAAAGAUUAUCACAAUUCAUUACAAAGAAGUUGGUAAAAUAUUACUUAGUUGAAUUUCAGAUAUUCAUGUUCUGUCGGAAUUAUUGAACUGCAAAUAUCUAACAAUUGUCAUCAAAUAAUUUGUGAUGGUCAACAAUUUUCAUAAUACAGGAAAUUGAAAAAAUUUAAAACAUACUGUAUUAAUUAACUAAUACAAUAUAGCCAACACGUGACCCAAAAGAAUAUAUGCAAUUAUACAAUUCAUCAAACAUCUUGCUGAAAGCAUGCAAAGAAAAUUGAAUUUGAUGGAAAUUAAAAUAAUAAAUUAUCUACUGAACUGGAGAACUAACACUUUUAUAGUUAUGAUCUAAAUGCAAAAUAUAUAAGAAAAGGAUUCUCACAAAAUUAAAAAUAAAUUAUCUGCCUCAAUUUCAUCUUAAAAAUUCAGUAUCCAAUUAAUUAGUUAAAUUCGAUAGACGUGAAUCACUUAUUAAGUCUAUCUUUAUGCAUAAAAGUCUACACAAAUUACAAGUAAAAACAAAUUCAAAUACAUUAUUACUAAAACAAACUUAUUUUCUUUUUGGCUAAGUAGCGAACUUGAAUGCAGAAGCAAUAACGAUCACUCAAAAAGAAAAAUCAUAGUAGGUUUAUAGUUUAUAUUAGGUGAAAUGAUCUGAUGGACCCUUGUACUUGUCCGAGUUUGUAAUGUGGACACUUCUACUUAUCUUUUUGUCAUCGACGAAAUGAUCAGAUAGACCCUUAUACUAGACUGGGUUUGUAAUGUAGACACUUCUACUUACCUUUUUGUCAUCUGAACUUUUAAAUCCAUCUAAACAUGAUAUUUUAAACCCCUUUCUCAUUAAAUCAAUAUGGGUGUGAUACAACCGACUCCACGUGGCAUGCCACAUCAUUUUUAAGUGACACAUAAGAAAUUAAGUAUUAAAUAUAUAUAUAUAAUAUAAAUAAUAUUUAAAAAACAAAGGAAAAAAAAAAACCCUCCUCCUCAUUUUCUUUUCUUCAUACUCUCAAUCCAUUCCAACUCUCACAAUACUUUCUCAACUACCAUUAAUCUAAAAAGUUGAUCAAAUAAUUGUUACGACAAUCUUAUAAUCAAAACAAUUCAUAAUAAAAUUCUUAUUCCUUCACAUCUUUUUAAAGGUAUUUAUUUUCUACAUGUAUAUCCAUUUUCAUGGAAAAAAUAUAAUUUACAAUGAAAAUAGGUGGUUAUGUUAUAGGAGUUGAUAUUGGAGUUGGCGAUUUAUUUGCCAAAGGAAGGGGGCGUCGAAGUGAGUUUUUGUUUGGGGGAGAAGGGGGAGGGGAAUGGUGGUGUUGGGUGGGAAGUGGGGGACGAUGAAGGCGGGAGGGGAAUGGUAGUGCUAGGUGGGGGGGUUUGGGAGGGGAAUGGUUGGCUGGACGAUGUUGUGGUGUUGGUGUUGGGUGGAGGGUGCGGGAAGUGAUACAAGAAUAAUUACGGAUAUGGACUUAAGAGAGGGCGUGUUGGACCCGAGACUUGGUGCGUGCAAUUGAAGUGUAAAAAAGGCCCAAAACACAUCAAAAUCAAUCCACUCCUAACACUUGAUGGGCGCCCUUUUGGUCAUCUUAGUUUAGGGCUUGGAAAAGCCACCAAAACCGAAAUGAGGGUGAUACUAGUGUGGAAUCACUAGUGUUGCAAAACUUGGUUCGAAACCUUGGUGCUUGAGUGGCUCACGCCCUCUUAUGUCAUUGGAAAAGUGUAAGUGUUGCUUUUUACAUCUAUUAAGGGUCUUAGUGUUUGAAAUACACUUAGGUUCUUAGUUCUUGUAAAAGUUGAUGUCUCACUACCUAUUUUUACUUCUUUUAAUCGUUUGUUGUUGUUAUUAGUGAAACCAUUGAUUCUUGUUAUCUGUGUUAUUACUCAUCUUGUUCAUCUUGUGUAGUUGCUGCCUUGGUGUGAUUUCUCCUUGUUAUUGUUGAGUUGGUGGCUGGUUUGUUACCAAAAGGAGGUCCUACAGGUUGUGUCUCCUUUUUGGGUGUUGUGUUUUCUUCUUGUUCUUGUGUUUUGUAUCUUGUUUCCGUGUUGUGGAUUGAUUUCACUAUCAUUUGAUGUCUUAAUUCUUUUGAGUCAUUGUAAUACGUCCUUGUGUUUUCCUUACUCGUUUGAGUCAUUGUAAACAUUGGAUUCACCUCUCAACACCUCUCGGAGUACAAGCAAGCUUACAACAUUUGUGAGAUUGAGUGUGACGGAUUCGAGAGACAAGAAAUAAAAAGAGAGAGUGAGGAUAUUUUUGUACAACUAAUGUGUUUUUUUUGUUGUUUUGUAGGUAACUUCUUGGCCAUAAUGGAAACCAUUUUGGCCUACCUUGAUUCUAUUUCCGAAAACCAUUUUCUCUUACCAUAUUUUAAAACUCCUUAAUUAUAUUAGGGGAAAUGAGUGAAAAGAUAAUUUUGUCUAAAGGAAAGUCUUUUAAUAAAAAUAAAAAAUUUCAAAUCAAUUUUCUAAAAAUUGUAAUUUAUAGCACCUUUCAUGUAGUUUUUGAAUUUCUAAAUUUUAAUUUUAAAAAUAAAUUAAUGUAAUCUAAUUUAGCUUUGAAACUUAAUCAAAAUGACUUAUGAAAAAUAAGAAGAGCAAUUAAAAAGGAAUAGAGGGAGUAAUGAGAUAGUAGCCUUUUCAUUAAGAAGAAAAAAAACUCAUCAACUUUGAAAAAUAAUAAAUACAUAAAUGUUGAUGAGUACCCUUCCCAGACCCCACUAUGUGGGAAUACACUGAAUUUAUUAUUGUUGUUGUAUAAAUGUUGAUGAGAUAAUAUUUAGAACUUUUAUCACGUGUUUUAGGAUUUCUUAAUUUUUAAAUUAUAUUUUUUCUCCUAUCAUAUUUCAAGACUCUUUAAUUAUAUUGGAGGAAAUAAGGAAAAGAAAGUUUUGUCUAAAGGAACGUCUUUUAAUAAAGGGCAAAAAUUUCAAAUUAAUUUUCUAAAAAUUGUAAUUUAUAAUACUUUUCAUGUAAUUUUUGAAUAUCUAAAUUUUGUUCUAAAAAAAUAAAUUAAUGUAAUCUAAUUUAGCUUUGAAACUUAGUCAAAUUAAUUUACGAAAAAUGAGGAGAGCAAUUUAAAAGGAAAGAAAAUGAAAUAGUAACCUUUUUUCAUUAAGAAGAAAGAAAUUUAUCAACUUAGAAAAAUAAUAAAUACAUAAAUAUUGAUGAGAUAAUAUUUAGAACUCCUAUCAUGUGUUUUAGGAUUUCUUAAUUUUUAAAUUAUAUUUUUUUCUCUUAUUAUAUCUCAAGAUUCCUUAAUUAUAUUAGAGGAAAUAAGUGAAAAGACAAUUUUAUCUAAAGGAGAGUGGCAAAAAUAUCAAAUCAAUUUUUUAAAAAUUGUAAUUUAUAAACUUUUCAUGUAGUUUUUGAAUAUCUAAAUUUUGAUCUAAAAAAAUAAAUUAAUGUAAUCUAAUUUAGCUUUGAAACUUAAUUAAAUUUACUUACGAAAAAUGAGAAGGGCAAUUAAAAAGGUAUGGAGGGAGUACUGAAAUAAUAAUUUUUUUUUUCAUUAAGAACCAAAAAACUCAUCAACUUAGAAAAAUAAUAAAUACAUAAAUGUUGAUGAGAUAAUGUUUAUCAUAUGUUUUAGAAUUUUUUUAUUUUUUAAAUUAUUUUUUUCUCCUAUCUUAUUUUAAGACUCCUUAAUUAUAUUAGGGGAAUAAGUAAAAAAAUAAUUUUAUCUAAAGGAGAGUUUUUUAAUAAAGGACGAAAAAUUUAAAUUAAUUUUCUAAGGGUUUCACACUUUUAGGGUCCGUUUGGCAAUGAAAUUUUUUUUCUUUUUUCCGAAAAUUUUUUCCGGAGUUGAAAAUUGUGGUGUUUGGCCAUGAAAAUUCAAAAAAUAAUUCUGAAUUUUUUUUUCUAAAAAGGAAAAACAGGUUUUUGUUGUUUUCACAAUUUUUCAACUUCAAUUUCAACUUUUAUUAUUAUUACAUAUAACCCCAAUCUUUUAAAUUUUUACAUAAAAUUCUCCUUAUAACAUUACUUUUUCAAUAUUACGUAUGUAGUAGUUUUAAAGAAUAAGAUAAUUAUAAUUUCAAACUUAAUGUUAUCCUAAUUAAUAUAUAUCUAUUUUUCUCUCUCAUCAUUAUUUUUAUCCCUUAUUUAAUUUUCUCCCUUAUUUAAGACAUUAUUUUAAUGCUAAUUUAUAUUUAUACCCAUAAAUAUAUAAAGUAUUAUAUUUAUAAUAUUAUAGAAAUAUACAAAGUAUGUUAUAUAUAAAGUUUAUAUCAUUUAUAUACCAUAUACACACAUAUAUAAAUAUACAAAGUAUUAAAAAACAUACUAAGCAUAUUUAUAAUAUGAGAAAAUACAUAAUUACCCCAUUAAUCUUGUCCGAGAUUUGCAAAAAGACACCUAAACUUUAACUUCGACCUAUUACCCCAUGAUUCUUCUUUAUUUCGUUGCAAACACAAUAUUUUGACCUCUUGCGUGUACACACGCUCCACAGAUGCGUGAAAGGGUUCAAAUUUGACUUUUUGGACCAAUUACAAGCUGUCAUGUGUAAAAUAAUUUAAUAUAUAAUUUAUAUUUUUUUAAAAAAAUAAUAUUUAUUUAUUUUUAAAAAUUAUUUNNNNNNNNNNNNNNNNNNNNNNNNNNNNNNNNNNNNNNNNNNNNNNNNNNNNNNNNNNNNNNNNNNNNNNNNNNNNNNNNNNNNNNNNNNNNNNNNNNNNNNNNNNNNNNNNNNNNNNNNNNNNNNNNNNNNNNNNNNNNNNNNNNNNNNNNNNNNNNNNNNNNNNNNNNNNNNNNNNNNNNNNNNNNNNNNNNNNNNNNNNNNNNNNNNNNNNNNNNNNNNNNNNNNNNNNNNNNNNNNNNNNNNNNNNNAUUAAAGCUCAUUUAACUAUCUUUAAAUCUCAAUUCAAUCAUUUAACUAUCCUUAAAAUUCAAUCCAAUCAUAAAACUAAUUUUUGAAUUGAUUUGAAUAAAAAAAAAAAACUGGACAGGGAGAGUGCUGGACGUGGAGAGGGGAGGGGAAGGUGCUGGAUUUGGGAGGGAAGAGGGGGUGGGGUGGGGUGUUUAAAUUAAAUAAAAAGAAAAAUUAUAUUAAAAAGAUAAAAAUAUAUGAAAUUAAAAGUAUUUGACACGUGACAACACCUGAUUGACGCGUGUAUUUCACUCUCCUUAUUGUGAUUGAGAUUCAGCGAAAAAUGGUGUGUUUGCAACGAAAUAAAAAAGAAUCAUGGGGUAAUAGGUCGAAGUGAAAGUUUAGGUGUCUUUUUGCAAAACUCGGAUAAGAUCAGGGAGGUAAUUAUGUAUUUACUCUUAUAAUAUAAAUAUACAAAGUUUGUUAUAUAUGAAAUUUAUAUCAUGUAUAUACCAUAUACAUACAUAUAUAAAAAUACAAAGUAUAAAGAAAUAUAUUAAGCAUAUUUAUAUAUUUAUGGUAUAUGAUAUAAUAUACCAUAAAUAUGUAAAGCAUGUUUUACGUAGAAAUAAUUUAUUCACACACAGUAAUAUCUUUCAUGUAUAAGAAAAUUAAAGAAAUAAAUUAGCGGGCACCCUAAAAUGUAAUAACAGCUCAUCAUUUCCUAUUUUUUAGGAACAAAAAAUGAAGGAAAUAAAUUAAAUAAAUUCCUAAAUAAAUAAAUUUGUUUGAAAGAUAAUAUUUGUUACCUAAAAAAAGGGAAGCAGUGAUCUGUUAAUAUAAUAUCCAUAUUUAAAAUUUUCAAAUAUGAGAAAACAGCUAUUAAUGUAAAUAUUAUAUAUGCCAUAAUUGAAAUUCAUUAAAUAUGGCCAUGUAAAUGUAAUUAUUUUUAUAAUAGUGGCUAAUUGUGUUCUUUUUUCAUUAGUAGGUAAAUUUUAGUUGGGUGAUUUUGAUAGUUUGUAAAAGUUAGGGUAUAAAAUCAUAUUUUAAAAAGUUUUUUCAAAAGUCAAAAAGAAUUUCAAAAAAGAUAUGGUCAAACACAAUUCCAACUCCAGUUUCAACUCCAACUCCAAAAUUUUUUAAUUUUCAUGAUCAAAUGGCUACUUAAUAUAUUGUAGAUGUAGAUGUAGAUAGAUAUGAUAUGAUGAUUAGUGAGUUAAUAAGAUUGAAGAUAUUCACCUUACAACAAAUUAUUACUCGUCCAUUUCACAAAAUAUUUGUUACAAUUUUCUUUUUGAAAGUGAAACGAUAUGAACUUUGUCUAAUAUUUUAGAUAUAUCUUUUUCAUCAUAUUGAUAUGAGAAAAACUGUAAUUUAUAAUACUCCUCGUAUUGUUUCAAAUAUCUAAAUUUUAAUUUUAAAAAUACAGAAUCAGUUUAAUCUAAUUUAAUUUUGAAAAUUAGUCAAAUUAAGUCUUGAGAGAUGAAAUGUGACAACUAUUUUAAAAUGAAUGGAGUAGUACAUGAUUAGUUUUUCUAUAAAGAGAGUAACCGGAGGAAGAAUCUCUCGGAGAAAUAUAUUGGCCUAUGCAUGAUGCCAAAGUAGCUAGGUUUAAGUCUAUACCAAUCGGAAACCUCCAAAGAAAAUUCGAAAGCUUUGUUACAUGAUAGUUGUUGAUUUUAGUUUGGCUGCUAGCUAGGUACCAGUUGAUACAAUGCUUUGUUGGAAGCAAUUAAAGCAUUGCUUGACCUUGUUCCUAUUGUUCAACAUUACCUUCCUAGUCAUUGGAACUAGGCCCAUCGCGUUCCAUAAGGUUAUGUGUAGUUUUCCACUACAAUAUGAAAUUAUCAAAGCUCAAAAGGUGUAAUACCGACUAUUGUUUUUUUAUUUCCUUGGUUUUCUUCCCGCAGACAGUUGUGGAUUUCUUUUCUUUUCUUUUCUUAGCCUUUAUACUAUGAGAAGGUGAUAGUUUACUGAUGAAGAGGCAGUUUACUUACGUCAGAGUAUAAAGUAAUUAAUGACGACAUUAAGAAAUGUUAGAAAAAUUGCACAUCUAUGGAUGCUAACAAAAAAUUGGCAAAGUGAAUGGUUUGCACUUGACAGAAGACUUCACUAUGGGGUCCGGAUCCAGUGCGUCCAACACUUAGUUUUACAUGAUACAUAUAUAUCCUGACGUUUUGCAUACACUUUUAUCUUUUGAUCCUUUAAGCAUGAGAAGUGAAAAUUCUGACAAAACAAAUCAUGAGAAAAGGAAAGAGCAAGAAAAUUGGAAAUUGACUUGCAUUGUCACAACAUAAGAAUAGGGUCCAAGAAAACUUUUUCACAUGAGAAAAAGUUAAUGCCCUAGGAGAAAUACUUAGAGUGUUAUGGUCCAAGGUAUAUUUUUUACUUGGCGGAAUGCAUCGCCAGAUCUUUCAACUUGACAGGAUCUUUCACUUUGACAACUCAAAUGGACGUUGCUCAUUUUAAGUACCUAAACCAACUAAAAACUGUGUCAUUUUGACACCUUUCGGCACCAGCUCUGGUGCGUGGAUUGCACACCCUUCCAGCAUGGAUCAAAUGACCAAUUAAUUUGUGCCAACUCAUUUUAAAUGGCCAUGACAUCAUUAUAUACACCCACCAUUUAUUUUUUAAACAAGAAAGGACCAAAAUGCAUGAAUUUUUUUACUAAAUCAUUACAAAAAAGCACCCCCCCUCCCCACAACAUCUUUCCCACCCAAUUUUCUUUGAGCUUAAUUUUCCAACCACAACGACUGAAAAAAAUAUGGAGAAGGAGGAGGUCAAUUGAAUCAGAAAAUUAAUUAACGUAAGAAAAGCAUAAGACUCCAGUAUAGAGUGCGCAAUAGAAGUUGAAGCUUUGAACUUAGCACGUAGCAAAUUAAAGCAUAACCAGAAGAUGGCAAAGAUAGAAUAUCUUCCCAAUUACAAUCUGGCAUAUAUCCGUAUUACAUGCCUACACACAACCAAUCAUCAGCCCAAAAAAAAAGAUCAAAAAUUAACUUGUACAUUAUUAUCACAACAAAAAGUAAAAUAAGAGUGGAUAACCAACUUUCAAAUAAGAGGGAUAAAGCGGGUGUUGAUUUCUCUAGUGGCGCAGACAUCAGAGUCUUGUACUUGACUCUGUAAUGAGAAGGGCCAAAAAGAGAAACAAUAGUAACUGAGUAGCUAGUAAGAACCUAAGAAUCCAUUCUCUUGACUUGCUAGCUCAACUUGCAUUGAUCACCCUCUUGGAACUUUAUUUUUGUCUUUUGGUUUUUGGAUGCUAUCUUUUUUAUUGCCUUGGUCAGUAUCCUACUUCUUUCUUGGUGGAGUUUCUCCAAAUGAUUUGUUUCAGUGUUGGUUGAAGCCAUUGAGAAACUCUACUAGAGAUUGAUUCAACUGAAUGAAAAAAAAAAAAAAAAGUGAGGAACUAUGGAGCUUUUGCUAGUGAAUUUAUAGGAAAAUUUUCCUUUGUCUAAUUGGCUUAUUAAAUAGGGAUUAGAAAGUAGGAAUGAGUGACCUAAAUAAUGGAUUAAAAAAAAAAAAAGACCAAAAUAUAGCUUGUAAAAAUAAAGUUUAUACUUUCUAUGUAUGACCGUCAUGGUCAACAGAUUAUUAUAUUAUAUAUUUAGUAAAUAAGAUCUUUAAAAAAUAAAGUGACCAAAAAAGCAUAUAAAAAUAAAGUUUUGUUAUGAAAUAUAUAUAAAGAAAGGACAAGAAGAAUAAAUAGAAAUACAAGAGAGAGACUUCUUUAUUUCUUUCGAUGGAUGAGAGAUCUUAAAAUUGAAAAUACAAUGAACAAAACCUUUCUAUUUAAAGGAGAAAUUUACUCGUAGUCUGAGUAAAAGACAGAUAUUUCAAAUCCUAAUAGUUAUCAAAGUAGAUUUUGAUAGACAUUUAAUGUAAAUACAUUUAUAACACUCCACCUUGAAUGUCUAAUUAGUAGAUAAUGUGCCUCGUUAAAACCUUACUAGAAAAAACUCCGUAGAAAAAAAUCUAGUAAAAGAAAAAGAGUACACAUCUCUAACAAUACGCAUAUAGGCUACCUCAUUAAAAACCUUAUAGGAAACCCAGUGGGAUAAAACCUCGUAAGAAAAAAAGAGUACAAUGCGUAUUAACUCCCCUAAUGAGAUCAUCCUUGAACCUUUGCACAAUCUUCUUGAAAGUUGCAAUUGGAGGAGACUUGGUGAAUAAAUCAGUCACAUUGUUACUUCAACGAAUCUGUUGCACGUUAAUAUCACCAUUCUUUUGUAGCUCAUAUAUGUAGAAAAACUUUAGUGAAGUGUGCUUCGUUCUAUCUCCUUUUAUGAAUCCUCUAUUAAGAUGUGUUAUGCAUGCUGCAUUAUCUCUGUAUAAAACUGUGGGUACAUUGUCACAUUUUAAACCACAUUUUUUCUCGAAUGAGAUGUAUCUUGGACCUCAACCAUACACAUUCUCGACUUGCUUCAUGAAUAGCUAUUAUCUCAGCAUGGUUUGAUGAAGUGGCUACGAUAGAUUGCUUUGUAUAUCUCUAAGAUAUGACAGUAUCCCCAUAUGUGAACACAUGUCUUAUUUGACACCGAGCUUUAUACGGGUCAGAUAAGUACCCAGUAUCAGCAUAACCAACAAGAUUAAGACUGCAGGCUUUCGGUAUUUGACUUGAAUUAUCUUUUGAAUGAGGAUCUGAUGAUAAUUCCUAACAUAUUUCAUAGCUGCAUAUAAUCUCCCCCUUAUGUUAGGAAAACUAACAUACAUCCUCCAUUUUCUUUAAGGAUUUCAUCGUUGUGCAUCUUGGUAUAUUCAUUAAUGGUAUACCGCAUAUCAAAAUUAUUAAAUGAAAUAGUUGGUUCCUGACCUUGAACCAAUUAAGAGGGAAGAAAUAAUCACAAUUUAUUGGUCUAAUGCAUACAAGUGCUAUUGUAUGCAACAUAUCAUAUUUCAGACCAACACAUAAGACUUUGUUCUCAUUAGUAAUGGUUUAGCUAUUUAUCAAAGUCAUUCAAUGCUAAACCAUCAUCAUCAAGAUGAAUUGUCUUGAUUACAUAAUCUGAAAGUUAAACUCUUAACUCAAUUUUAUUGAGCAAGCAACAUUUAUGAAUGUCAAACGUCAGGUUGACAAUAAGUGUACAUGUGAUCAUCUUAUAUCAGUGCAUCUUAAUAGAUCACAGUACAGGUGAACGGGCCCAUAUUCACCUUUUAUACUUUUCAGAUUUAAGGGAUUCAAUCCCAACAUUAGUUGGUCCAACUAACUUAUCAUGAGAACAAGCGACAUAAAUAAUUCUCAAAAAAUCUUUUAGUUCUUCAAUACAUGUCUAAUACUCAAUAUGCACAUCUUCGAGAUGUCACAAUCGUUCACAUAAAUUUAUGAACUUUUAUUCUAGUAAACUCCAAGUUUACCAUGGCAUGUACUUUUUUCUUUAGUAAAUUUCAGAUUUACUAUUACAUGAAUAAAUUUCAGAUUUACUACUUUAGAAGUAGAUUUCAAAAUAACUUUUUUCAGUUAUUUUGCCUUAUUCGGAGGUGAGUUGUGAUACCAUCACAAUCAAGUGCACGUUUGCAUUAAUAAGGUUCUCAUUCCCCAGGAAUGGAAUAUAAUUGUGCCUUAAGCCUAUCAAAUUAUGAUAACUUAUAACUUCUUUCAUGAUAUUGCCACUUCAGGAGCAAAUCGAGGCAUAAGUAUGAUAGAGAGAAUUCCUCUAUAUUGCUACCACAUUCACUUCAAGAAUGGAGCAAGUUGUCAUCUUUCAGACUUAUCAUAUCUUGCUACCACAUUCACUUCUUGGAAUAGUGAAUAUUCAAUGGACAAGUUUCAUGACUUUUCAUCAAAAACACAUUAUUUUGCCUUAACCAUCAUAAUAUCAUCAAUAUGGUGCAUUGAGAUUCAAACUCAACGUUUUAUCCACAUAAAGGCGUCUUAGGCAUAAAUCAAUGGGACUUGAACCCAACAUAUUAUCAUCCCUUUUGAUAAUAUUUUUCUUGAGGAAUAAAUUUAAAACAUAAAUGGUUUCAAACCUAUUAUUUUUUGUCAAAUCCAACAAUAAUUAUAUUAUUAGUAGCAAAAGACAGAUAACAUAAGAAAUUACUAACCUUUAAAUUACUUUUAGAUUUAUAAUCUCAUCUUGUUUGGUAGGGUCUUGUGUUGAUAACGUGUUAUUAAAUAUAAAGAAAGAACAAGAAGAAUAAAUAGAGAGAGAAGAGAGAGACUUCUUUAUUUCUCUUGAUGGAUGAGAGAUCAUAAGAUUGAGAAUACAAUGAACAAAACGCCUCUAUUUAAAGGGACAAUUUACUCUUAGUCUUAGUAAAAGACAGAUGCUUCAAAUCCUAAUAGAUAUCAAAGUAGAUCUUGAUAGACAUUUACUAUAAUAUAAAUACAUUUAUAACAAGUUUCUAUUUUUUUUACAUAUGAUCGUUAUGGUCAAUUAUUUACUAUAUAUUAAUUAAUUAACUUUAAAAAAUAAAGGUGACCGAAAAUAUCGUUUAAACAAAAUAAAAUCGAUACUUGCAUCAGAAUAGAUUGUCUUAUAUUACACCAUAUUUUGUUCAGCGCUCGGCCUUGAGUGAACAUGGGAUGCUUUGAGCACAAAGCUACCUUUCUUCUAGUAACAAAGGAAAAUAAAAGCAAAAUGAAUGAAUCGACUUGGUAAAGAACAAUGCUAAGUUGAAUUUUGUAUGAUAGUUGGGAACCUAACAUCAAUGAAUUUGUUGCACUUGGUGAAUAAAUCAGCCACAUUGUCACUUGAACGAAUCUGUUGCACGUUUAUAUCACCAUUCUUUUGUAGCUCAUGUAUGAAGAAAAACUUUGAUGAAGUGUGCUUCGUUCUAUCUCCUUUUAUGAAUCCUCCAUUAAGAUGUGUUAUGAAAGCUGCAUUAUCUCGAAUGAGAUGUAUCAUGGACCUCAACCAUACACAUUCUCGACUUGCUCCAUGAAUAGCUAUUAUCUCAGUAUGGUUCGAUGAAGUGGCUACGAUAGACUGCUCUGUAUAUCUCCAAGAUAUGGCAGUAUCCCUACAUGUGAACACAUAACUUAUUUGAGAUCGAGCUUUAUACGGGUCAGAUAAGUACCCAGUAUCAGCAUAACUAACAAGAUUAAGACUGCAGGCUUUCAGUAUUUAACUUGAAUUAUCUUUUGAAUAAGGAUCUAAUGAUAAUUUCAAACAUAUUUCAUAGCUGCAUAUAAUCUCCCACUUAUGUUAGGAAAACUAACAUACAUCCUCCAUUUUCUUUGAGGAUUUCAUCUUGGUAUAUUCAUUAAUCGUAUACCGCACAUCAAAAUUAUUAGAUGAAAUAGUUGGUUCCUGACCUUAAACCAAUUACGAGGGAAGAAAUAAUCAUAAUUUAUUGGUCUAAUGCAUACAAGUGCUAUUGUAUGCAACAUAUCAUAUUUUAGACCAACACAUGAAACUUUGUUCUCAUUAGUAAUGAUUUAGCUAUUUAUCGAAGGCAUUCAAUGCUAAACCAUCAUCAUCAAGAUGAAUUGUCUUAAUUACAUAAUCUGAAAGUUAAACUCUUAACUCAAUUUUAUUGAGCAAACAACAUUUAUGAAUGUCAACGGCAGGUUGAUAAUAAAUGUACAUGUGAUCAUCUUAUAUCGAUCCAUCUUAAUAGAUCACAUGACAGGUGAACGGGUCCAUAUUCACCUUUUAUACUUUUUCGAUUUAAGAAAUUCAAUCCCAACAUUAGUUCGUCCAACCAACUUAUCAUGAGAACAAACUACAUAAACAAUUCUCGAAAAAUCUUUUAGUUCUUCAAUAAAUGUCUAGUACUCAAUAUGUACAUUUUUGAGAUGUCACAAUCGUUCACAUAAAUUUAUGAACUUUUAUUCUAGUAAACUUCAAGUUUACCAUGACAUGUACUUUUUUCUAUAGUAAAUUUCAAAUUUACUAUUACAUGAAUAAAUUUCAAAUUUACUACUUUAGAAGUAGAUUUUAAAAUAACUUUUCUCAGUUAUUCUGCCUCAUUUGGAGGUGAGUUGUGAUACCAUCACAAUUAAGUGCACGUUUGCAUUAAUAAGGUACUCAUUCCCCAGAAAUGGAAUAUAAUUGUGUCUUAAGCCUAUCAAAUUAUGAUAACUUAUAACUUCUUUCAUGAUAUUGCUACUUCGGGAGCAAAUCGAGGCAUAAAUAUGAUAGAGAGAAUUUCUCUAUAUUGCUAUCAUAUUCACUUCAAGAAUGGAACAAAUUGUCAUCUUUCAGACUUAUCAUAUCUUGCUACCACAUUCACUUCUUGGAAUGGAGAAUAUUCAAUGGACAAGUUUCAUGACUUUUCAUAAAAAACAUAUUAUUUUGCCUUAACCAUCAUAAUAUCAUCAAUAUGGUGCAUUGAGAUUCAAACUCAACGUCUUACCCAUAUAAAAAUAUCUUAGGCAUAAAUCAAUGGGACUUGAACCCAACAUAUUAUCAUCCCUUUUGAUAAUAUUGUUCUUGAGGAAUAAAUUUAAAACAUAAAUGGUUUCAAACCUAUUAUUUUUUGUCAAAUCCAACAAUAAUUAUAUUAUUAGUAGAAAAAGAUAGAUAACAUAAGAAAUUACUAACCUUGAAAUUAUCUUUAGAUUUAUAAUCUCAUCUUGUUUGACAGAGUCUCGUGUUGAUAAUGUAUUAUUAAAUAUAAAGAAAAAACAAGAAGAAUAAAUAGAGAGAAGAGAGAGACUUUUUUACUUCUCUUGAUGGAUGAGAGUGUUGUGAGUUAAGGAAGAAGAAGCAGUAAACAAUAAUAAAACAGUGAUAGAAAAAUAGGAUAAAGAUAAAAGGAACAACUAUUCUAUAUUUAGCUAAGUAUUCUCAUUCAUUUAUCCAAAACAAGGACUGUACAAUGCUUAAAUAGCCAAUAGAAAGAGUAAAGUACAAGCUCCAGCUGGCUCUCCUAGUACUAAAAAUUAAAUGUCCUUCAGUGGACCUAAAAAUGCCCAAUCACUCAAACAUAGUUGGGAAUUGCAACAUAAUCGAAACUUGAACUUAAAACCUAUUGGGACUAAAUUGUAAAUAAACUAGAGCUGAAUUAUUUAAGCUUCUAACUAACAUAACUACCAGGUUCAUGCUCCAAAGCCUGAAGUACUACUCUUCACAGCUUUCCAACCUCAUUCUUGCAUCAUUCCUCUUUCCUUAACAGUUUUCUUAUCCUCAAGAAGCAAAAUCUGGAAACCUCAACUUCAUUGUAGAAUAAUCUUCCCAUGUUACAUCUUCUUUUGACCCCUGAUCCUACUGUACCAAAACCUGUUGAAUAACUUUGUUUCCUCUCUUGAUCAUCCUUCUCUUAAUAAUUUCCUUAGGCUGCACACAAUUAGGGGAACAUAUAUCCACUAUUGGGGGGUGAUUAAAAUCAGCAGGCACUGCAUAGCAAGGUUUCAAUUGAGACACAUAAAAAGUAUGAUGGAUGGCCACUUGAGAAGGUAGGGAUAACUUGUAAGCCACUGGACCUAUCAUUUGCAAAACUUGAUAAGGUCCAUAAUACUUAGCUGGUAGCUUAGAGAAAUGUUUGUUGGACAUAGUGAACUGCCUGUAUGGUUGAAUCUUCAAAUACACCCAAUUACCUUCUGCAAAUUGUCUAUCAGUCAUGUGUUGAUUAGCUAAGGAAACCAUUUUCUGUUGAGCUCUAGUGAUGUGAAACUUAAGCAACUCAACCUUGAGUUCUCUAGUGAUGAGACUUCUGUCCACCUCUUCUUCUGCUGCAUCUCCUGGAACAUAUGAGAUGUGAAUCGGUAGGGGUUGGCCAUAAAGGGCUUCAUAGGGUGUAGUUUGCAUAGCUGACAGAAUCGUGGUAUUAUACCACCAUUCAGUAAGUGACAAAAAUUUGACCCAAUCUUUUUGACUGUGAGCACAAAAACACCUCAGAUAGGUUUCCACUGUUCUAUUAAGUACCUCUGUUUGCCCAUCUAUUUGAGGAUGGUAAGCCGUGGAGGUACUUAGAGUCACACCCUGUAUUGCAAACAAAUCUUGCCAAACUUUGCUCAUAAAUAUUGGAUCCCUGUCACUGAUGAUGUU
This 22787-nucleotide long non-coding RNA is filed under the name Capsicum annuum. RNAcentral describes it as "long non-coding RNA (CANN_LNC009288)". The stretch from base 1 to 218 matches the Rfam family "Plant small nucleolar RNA U3". Lineage: Eukaryota; Viridiplantae; Streptophyta; Magnoliopsida; Solanales; Solanaceae. The record is from RNAcentral.